This 498-nucleotide ribosomal RNA is filed under the name uncultured bacterium. Its description in RNAcentral is "bacterial SSU rRNA". It matches the Rfam family "Bacterial small subunit ribosomal RNA", at positions 28 to 521 of the family's 1533-position model. The record is from RNAcentral.
GAUGAACGCUAGCGGCAGGCCUAAUACAUGCAAGACGAACGGUAAGUUGAGUAGCAAUACUUAGCCAAGAGUGUCGUACGGGUGCGUAACACGUAUGCAACCUACCCUAUACAGGAGGAUAGCCUAGGGAAACCUGGAUUAACCCUUCAUAGUAUUAUUGGAUGGCAUCAUUUGAUAAUUAAAACUGAGGUGGUAUAGGAUGGGCAUGCGUCUGAUUAGUUAGUUGGCGGGGUAAUGGCCCACCAAGACGAUGAUCAGUAGGGGUUCUGAGAGGAAGAUCCCCCCACACUGGCACUGAGAUACGGGCCAGACUCCUACGGGAGGCAGCAGUAGGGAAUAUUGGUCAAUGGAUGCAAGUCUGAACCAGCCAUGCCGCGUGCAGGAAGAAGGCCUUCUGGGUUGUAAACUGCUUUUGCCAGGGGAUGAAAUUUCCAUGCGUGGAAAACUGAAGGUACCUGGUGAAUAAGCCACGGCUAACUACGUGCCAGCAGCCGCGGU